AUUGAACGCUGGCGGCAUGCCUUACACAUGCAAGUCGAACGGCAGCACGGGGGCAACCCUGGUGGCGAGUGGCGAACGGGUGAGUAACAUAUCGGAACAUACCCUAGAGUGGGGGAUAACGUAGCGAAAGUUACGCUAAUACCGCAUACGAUCUAAGGAUGAAAGUGGGGGAUCUUCGGACCUCAUGCUCAUGGAGUGGCCGAUAUCUGAUUAGCUAGUUGGUGAGGUAAAGGCUCACCAAGGCGACGAUCAGUAGCUGGUUUGAGAGAACGACCAGCCACACUGGAACUGAGACACGGUCCAGACUCCUACGGAGGCAGCAGUGGGAAUUUUGGACAAUGGGGGCAACCCUGAUCCAGCAAUGCCGCGUGAGCGAAGAAGCCCUUUGGGGUGUAAAGCUCUGUCAGCUGGAACGAAUAAAAUGACGGUACCAGCAGAGGAAGCAUCGGCUAACUACGUGCCAGCAGCC
Molecule: ribosomal RNA, 469 nt
Filed under: uncultured bacterium
Lineage: Bacteria
Description: bacterial SSU rRNA
Rfam family: Bacterial small subunit ribosomal RNA
Source: RNAcentral